AGAGUUUGAUCCUGGCUCAGAAUCAACGCUGGCGGCGCGCCUAACACAUGCAAGUCGAACGAGAAAGCCGCAAGGUGAGUAAAGUGGCGUACGGGUGAGUAACACGUGGAUCAUCUACCUUCUAGUGGGGAAUACCGUUGGGAAACCGACGACAAUACCGCAUAAGCUCGAGAGAGGAAAGCAGCAAUGCGCUGGAAGAGGAGUCCGCGGUCGAUUAGUUAGUUGGCAGGGUAAAAGCCUACCAAGACUGUGAUCGAUAGCCGGCCUGAGAGGGCACACGGCCACACUGGCACUGAAACACGGGCCAGACUCCUACGGGAGGCAGCAGUGGGGAAUCUUGCACAAUGGAGGAAACUCUGAUGCAGCGACGCCGCGUGAGCGAUGAAGCCCUUCGGGGUGUAAAGCUCUUUCGGCAGGGAAGAUUAUGACGGUACCUGCAGAAGCAGCUGCGGCUAACUACGUGCCAGCAGCCGCGGUAAUACGUAGGCAGCAAGCGUUGUUCGGAGUUACUGGGCGUAAAGGGUGCGUAGGCGGUCUUUUAAGUUUGGUGUGAAAUCUCCCGGCUCAACCGGGAGGGUGCGCCGAAUACUGAGAGGCUAGAGUGUGGGAGAGGAAAGUGGAAUUCCUGGUGUAGCGGUGAAAUGCGUAGAUAUCAGGAGGAACACCGGUGGUGUAAACGGCUUUCUGGACCAUAACUGACGCUGAAGCACGAAAGCGUGGGUAGCAAACAGGAUUAGAUACCCUAGUAGUCC
This 752-nucleotide ribosomal RNA is filed under the name uncultured bacterium. RNAcentral's name for it is "bacterial SSU rRNA". It matches the Rfam family "Bacterial small subunit ribosomal RNA", at positions 8 to 796 of the family's 1533-position model. The record is from RNAcentral.